Molecule: ribosomal RNA, 795 nt
Filed under: uncultured bacterium
Lineage: Bacteria
Description: bacterial SSU rRNA
Rfam family: Bacterial small subunit ribosomal RNA
Source: RNAcentral
AGAGUUUGAUCCUGGCUCAGAUUGAACGCUGGCGGAAUGCUUUACACAUGCAAGUCGAACGGCAGCACGGGAGCUUGCUCCUGGUGGCGAGUGGCGGACGGGUGAGUAAUAUAUCGGAACGUACCUUUUAAUGGGGGAUAACUAGUCGAAAGAAUAGCUAAUACCGCAUAAGCCCUGAGGGGGAAAGCGGGGGAUCGUAAGACCUCGCGUUAUUAGAGCGGCCGAUAUCUGAUUAGCUAGUUGGUGAGGUAAAGGCUCACCAAGGCGACGAUCAGUAGCUGGUCUGAGAGGACGACCAGCCACACUGGAACUGAGACACGGUCCAGACUCCUACGGGAGGCAGCAGUGGGGAAUUUUGGACAAUGGGCGCAAGCCUGAUCCAGCCAUUCCGCGUGAGUGAAGAAGGCCUUCGGGUUGUAAAGCUCUUUCGCAAGGGAAGAAACGAUUCAUCCUAAUACGGUGAGUUAAUGACGGUACCUUGAUAAGAAGCACCGGCUAACUACGUGCCAGCAGCCGCGGUAAUACGUAGGGUGCGAGCGUUAAUCGGAAUUACUGGGCGUAAAGCGUGCGCAGGCGGUUUUGUAAGUCAGAUGUGAAAUCCCCGGGCUCAACCUGGGAACUGCGUUUGAAACUACAAGGCUAGAAUAUGUCAGAGGGGGGUAGAAUUCCACGUGUAGCAGUGAAAUGCGUAGAGAUGUGGAGGAAUACCAAUGGCGAAGGCAGCCCCCUGGGAUAAUAUUGACGCUCAUGCACGAAAGCGUGGGGAGCAAACAGGAUUAGAUACCCUGGUAGUCC